Long non-coding RNA from Mobula hypostoma (lesser devil ray), 459 nucleotides. RefSeq lists it as uncharacterized. Lineage: Eukaryota; Metazoa; Chordata; Chondrichthyes; Myliobatiformes; Myliobatidae. The transcript is spliced from 3 exons. The record is from RefSeq and is a predicted model, not a curated record.
UUACCUUGGCGGGAGAGACAGGGUGCAGGCUACGUCGCAAGAAAAACAAAACAUCAUUGAAUUACGAUAGUCCCUCGGGUUGGAGGAUGAACCUUCUUUAUUUCACCCUAAGGAGCCCUUCACGUCCUGGACCAACAGAUCGACGUCGAAUGGAGGCUUACGUGCUUCAAGCCUCAUCAGGCGAUGCCACUUCAAGGCCACCCAUGUUGGAACGGCCGUGGGCGAAAUGCCAGACGAAGAUUCGUCUCCCGAACGGACAGACCUGCGACUGGCCCUCCCGGGCCACACUUCAUCAUUUUCUGGCUUUGACUAAAACCAAUAAGAAGCGUGAAGAGAAAAACAUCUGCCAUACGGAACAACAACAACCCUGAAGCUGCCUGUGCGCGAAUUCACUGAAAAUGCUUCUUUUGUUGAAGCUGUCGAGCACUAUAACAAUAAACUGACACGAGAUUGGCAGGA